AAUCAACGCUGGCGGCGUGCCUAACACAUGCAAGUCGCACGAGAAAGGGGAGCAAUCCCUGAGUACAGUGGCGCACGGGUGAGUAACACGUGAAUUAUCUACCUCCGAGUGGGGAAUAACUGAGAGAAAUCUUAGCUAAUACCGCAUAACACUUACGAGUCAAAGCAGCAAUGCGCUUGGAGAGGAGUUCGCGGCAGAUUAGUUAGUUGGCGGGGUAACGGCCCACCAAGACGAUGAUCUGUAUCCGGCCUGAGAGGGCGCACGGACACACUGGAACUGAAACACGGUCCAGACUCCUACGGGAGGCAGCAGUGGGGAAUUUUGCGCAAUGGGGGAAACCCUGACGCAGCAACGCCGCGUGGAGGAUGAAAUAUCUUGGUAUGUAAACUCCUUUCGAUGGGGAAGAUUAUGACGGUACCCAUAGAAGAAGCCCCGGCUAACUUCGUGCCAG
Molecule: ribosomal RNA, 451 nt
Filed under: uncultured bacterium
Lineage: Bacteria
Description: bacterial SSU rRNA
Rfam family: Bacterial small subunit ribosomal RNA
Source: RNAcentral